GGGGUUGUGGCGCAGUUGGGAGCGCGCCUGAUUCGCAUUCAGGAGGUCGGGGGUUCGAGUCCCCCCAGCUCCA
Molecule: transfer RNA, 73 nt
Filed under: bacterium
Lineage: Bacteria
Also listed under: 3 other names
Description: tRNA-Ala
Rfam family: tRNA
About the family: Transfer RNA (tRNA) molecules are approximately 80 nucleotides in length. Their secondary structure includes four short double-helical elements and three loops (D, anti-codon, and T loops). Further hydrogen bonds mediate the characteristic L-shaped molecular structure. tRNAs have two regions of fundamental functional importance: the anti-codon, which is responsible for specific mRNA codon recognition, and the 3' end, to which the tRNAs corresponding amino acid is attached (by aminoacyl-tRNA synthetases). tRNAs cope with the degeneracy of the genetic code in two manners: having more than one tRNA (with a specific anti-codon) for a particular amino acid; and 'wobble' base-pairing, i.e. permitting non-standard base-pairing at the 3rd anti-codon position.
Source: RNAcentral